GCAUGUUCUGAUUCCUUGCCUCACAUUGUCCAUAUUUUGACAUCGAAGGAUUGUAAAGGUGAAGCCCAAUUUUUAAAGAAGCAAAGUGAUAUUAUCGAGGAUGUUGUGGAUGAAGUUGUGCACGCAUAUCAUGGUGGUUUCAACAAAGCAAUUCAAAAUUAUUGCAAUCCAACUCAACAAAGCCUGGAUAUGUGCUUCAAAUUGCAGUUACAUUAUGUGCUCCAAGUAGAAGAAGUAUUUGUGUAUGAUGUUGUAAAAACUACUGAAGAAACUCCAAUGGAUGUACGAACACAAGUCAUUGAAAAGGCGAAUCACCUUAAUAUAAAAGCAACUCUAAUGGAUGUAUAGACAUAUGUCAUUGAAUUUUUGAAUCAGCUCAAUAUAAAGUUCUUAUCAUUACUCUCAUUAGCAGCAGCUUGUGCUACAGCUAGUGUCAUCAAUGUCCUCCCCGACAUUAGUGGGUCCUACUGCCCACCAAAGUUCUGCAGCAGGUAUCAACUCUCUGCUAUGAUUGAUUUCUUGUCUUGGUUUCUUACCACCACUUCGUCGCUUUUCAAUAUGUGGCUGCUUGCUUCUUGGUGAUUCUCAUUCAACUUGGGCUAUUGUUGUCUUGUUGGUGAUAUCUGAGACUGUUCAUGAUGUGGUUAUGUCUAUAUAUUAUUGAUAUGAUUGUGGAAGGUGGAAGUGAGUUGUCAAUAAAAAUCAGAUUCUUCCUAUUGAUGAGUAAAAAGAUGAAAGAAAUAUGAAAUUCUAUAAUGUAUUUGCAAAAAAGUCUGUACAUCCAUUGUGCAAAGAACUCUUUCAUUUCUAUAAGAAUCCAAACAAAAUGAAAAAAAUAGUAUCCUAGUUAGGAUGGGAAGAAAAGAAUUUUCCCAAAAUAGGAUUGCUGCUAGAUUCAUAUGCUAGAGGUAUUUAAUAUAUUUCAGGUUGAUCUUCGGAAGAAUGAGGUAGGCUUUAAUGAAUCUUUCAAUUACAAAGAGGUGUCAGACUUAGAUGCAACCUUGAAAAGGCCAGUUUUUGAAAUUCAUAUGCAAUGUGUUUUUAAAAUUUAUUAACAUCAUUAGAAAAAGGUAACAAUGUCUUUUUUGCCAUUUUCAAAAUUUAUGAUCAUCACCAGAUUUUAAUGUCAAUGAGGUUCGCAUUGCCAUUAUCUUUAAAUCCCCACCUGGGCAUCAAGUUUCCAACUAAU
Long non-coding RNA from Magnolia sinica, 1189 nucleotides. RefSeq lists it as uncharacterized. The transcript has 3 exons. The record is from RefSeq and is a predicted model, not a curated record. Lineage: Eukaryota; Viridiplantae; Streptophyta; Magnoliopsida; Magnoliales; Magnoliaceae.